UUAGAUCACAUGACAUGACAUGUUGGUAAAUGGUAAUUUAUGUGUGUUUAUUUUAAAAAUGAGUUUGCCAAUAUUAAACAAGUAAUCUGAAUUCAAGUUUCAACACAGAAUUUAACACGCAAUGUAACUUGUUUUGUUGUUUUGUUCUAAGGCCUUAAUCAAAGAAUAUUUGAAUUGUGCAGUGGAUCUGAAAGGUUUGGGUCAAAUUCAUUCUUUCAAGUCCUUUUUUUCUUGUUUAAUUCAAUUUAGCGAUUGGUUGGGUUAACCUGAAAGCCCAACUAGUUUGAGUUCCUGUGUGAGUACUAUCAUAAUUAAGUUAAGCUAGAUUAGCGUAGUUUUGAAUUCUUUUAUAUGUUGUGUGUGACAAAGGGGACUAUGGAGACGAAGUAACUGGAGACACUAAAAGAUUUCCACAGGGA
This 419-nucleotide long non-coding RNA is filed under the name Arachis ipaensis. RNAcentral describes it as "long non-coding RNA (AIPA_LNC000622)". The record is from RNAcentral. Lineage: Eukaryota; Viridiplantae; Streptophyta; Magnoliopsida; Fabales; Fabaceae.